AACGAACGCUGGCGACAUGCCUAACACAUGCAAGUCGAACGAAGCCUUCGGGCUUAGUGGCGCACGGGUGCGUAGCGCGUGGGAAUCUGCCCUUUGGUUCGGAAUAACAGUUGGAAACGACUGCUAAUACCGGAUGAUGACGAAAGUCCAAAGAUUUAUCGCCAGAGGAUGAGCCCGCGUAGGAUUAGCUAGUUGGUGUGGUAAAGGCGCACCAAGGCGACGAUCCUUAGCUGGUCUGAGAGGAUGAUCAGCCACACUGGGACUGAGACACGGCCCAGACUCCUACGGGAGGCAGCAGUGGGGAAUAUUGGACAAUGGGCGAAAGCCUGAUCCAGCAAUGCCGCGUGAGUGAUGAAGGCCUUAGGGUUGUAAAGCUCUUUUACCCGGGAUGAUAAUGACAGUACCGGGAGAAUAAGCUCCGGCUAACUCCGUGCCAGCCGCCGCCGUAA
RNAcentral lists this ribosomal RNA (449 nucleotides) under uncultured bacterium. RNAcentral describes it as "partial 16S ribosomal RNA". It matches the Rfam family "Bacterial small subunit ribosomal RNA", at positions 29 to 523 of the family's 1533-position model. The record is from RNAcentral.